RNAcentral lists this ribosomal RNA (468 nucleotides) under uncultured bacterium. RNAcentral's name for it is "partial 16S ribosomal RNA". It matches the Rfam family "Bacterial small subunit ribosomal RNA", at positions 28 to 507 of the family's 1533-position model. The record is from RNAcentral.
GACGAACGCUGGCGGCGUGCUUAACACAUGCAAGUCGAACGGAAAGGCCCUGCUUUUGUGGGGUGCUCGAGUGGCGAACGGGUGAGUAACACGUGAGUAACCUGCCCUUGACUUUGGGAUAACUUCAGGAAACUGGGGCUAAUACCGGAUAGGAGCUCCUGCUGCAUGGUGGGGGUUGGAAAGUUUCGGCGGUUGGGGAUGGACUCGCGGCUUUUCAGCUUGUUGGUGGGGUAGUGGCUUACCAAGGCUUUGACGGGUAGCCGGCCUGAGAGGGUGACCGGCCACAUUGGGACUGAGAUACGGCCCAGACUCCUACGGGAGGCAGAAGUGGGGAAUAUUGCACAAUGGGCGGAAGCCUGAUGCAGCAACGCCGCGUGCGGGAUGACGGCCUUCGGGUUGUAAACCGCUUUCGCCUGUGACGAAGCGUGAGUGACGGUAAUGGGUAAAGAAGCACCGGCUAACUACGUG